Molecule: long non-coding RNA, 1262 nt
Filed under: Equus asinus (donkey)
Lineage: Eukaryota; Metazoa; Chordata; Mammalia; Perissodactyla; Equidae
Description: lncRNA (ENSEASG00005027157.1)
Source: RNAcentral
CAAGGAACCGAGACAGCCUCUAGUUACUGAGAGCAGUCCUCAGUCAAUAGCCAACAAGAAAAUGGGGACUUUUCCUGAAAAGAGGACAAAGUUCCAGAAGAGAAUGCAUGCAGUGGACACUAUGAUUUCAGCCUGAGCGGAGAACCCAGCCACACCUAGCCAGACUUCUGACCUAAGGAACUGUUCCAGAGUGGGUCUCAGGCGUAUUCGAGCUUGGAGCAAUUUGUCCAGGACUUAUUUCUUGGUGAGAGUCCGCCCCCUGACGUUUGACAAAGGUAAGUACAACACAGUCCCACUGCCUUCUUAACAAAAGGCAAACUGUCUUUCCAUUUAAGAAUCAUUUGGAAGGAAAUAGAUUUGGGGCUUUUACUGAAAUCUUCAUCAGUUUGAGAAAAUUCUAGAUGCUACAGAAUGACUAUCCCUCAGCCCCUUUAUUUGUUCUGGAAGCAUCAGAAAAACUUGGAGAAAAUUAAUCUUUCUAAAAUAGCUAGUUACAGAUGUGGAAGAGCAUAUCCGAUAUAAGGCCAGGUAAAGGCUACACGAUUCCAUUCUGUAUAUUCAGCGUGAAACUUUCCAACAGCGAACUCUCUUUCUCUGAGCGCCUGUUAUAUUCAUACAUCAAUGAUGUUCAUGUUUCCCACUGGAAUGGGCAAGUUGGGGUCUUUUAUCUUCCUUGACUCAGCGGUGUUGAACCCAAUAGCUAUCCUUGAAAUCCGUCUUGAAAUGCUUUUCUCAGCUUGUGGGACGUCACAUUCUCCUCGUUUCCCUCCUGCUUCACAGGCUGCUUCUUCUCAUUCCUGUUACUGGAUCCUCCUCUUCUGUAUACCUCUAGAUGAUGGGGUGCCCAGGCUCACUGCUUGGGCCUCCUCAUUUCUUUCCCUGUACACACUGGGGGAUCCCAUCUGGUCCCGUGGCUUUAAGCACAAUCUCUAGGCUAACGACCCUAGAGCAUAUCUCUAGUCCAGAUCUACCCUUGAACGAUAGAUUAGUACACCCAGUGGCCUACUUGACAUCUCAAAUUGGAGGUCUCACAGGCAUCUCAAAGACCUGAAGCAGCUGACUAAAUCCACGUAAGCUUGGAGAGCACUGUGGCCUCUGAGUUCAAGCAGAUGAAUCAAAGGGACUUCCAACUUUAGGGUACCCCAUGCUUUCUCCAAUUUACACAAACACACAUAUUUAUUUAUAUAUAACCACAGUUACAUCAAUAUGAUUUCAAGAGUUAAAUAAUUAUAAAUCCCUGCUUCUCAGAGAUGAUCUCUUUU